AAUUAGCAAAGCAUUUAUUGUUAAGGCUUUUUAACAAAUCGCCAAAGGUGUAACAACUUUAUGAGGACCAGGGAUCUAAACGCAACACUUUGUUGUCUUUGUCUGUUUACUUGCAAUGCUUUUGACACUUCAUGGUCCUUUAUUGUUUCCACUGUCCCAACAAAAGAGACCUUAACGUCCUACAAUCGGUGCAAUACAUUAUUUUCUUGGCUUCAGAACCUGCAAUGAGUUUAUUACGUUAGACGCGUUUGUAACGGACCAUUUCAUCUACCGAGGAAACGCUGCCUGCCGUCGCCAGAGAACAGAGCAGAAAGGUCCGACAGUCUUUAAACGCGUCUUCAUGUUUCUGUGAAGCAGCGCGGCUUCAGCCCGCUAACAGGCAGCUAAACAGAGACAGCCGAGCUAAACUAACGAAGCCACGUUCAAACUCGGCGAAGAGUAAAAUAGUCGUCGCGGUCCGUAGUCGGUGCACAAGAAACCACCGCUGCACCGACGCGAGCGAGCGUUCUGGCAAUUUCUGACUGGAAAAGUGUCCUGUGUCUGCUGUCCCUCAAAGAGUGUCCUGGUCCACCUCACUGACCUGCUAGGCAUAAAACGGUGAAUGUUUCUGACUGAAAAAGCGAUUCCAAUGUUAAAAAGCGCAUGUGUGAUGGUCUAGCUAAAUUAUACUUGCCUAGUUCCCAUGUGUUUUUAUGUUUUGUAUGUGCAACCUGCUGCUAGUGAAGGUUGCCCUUUCCGUUGCUAGGUCAGUUUUCGGACAACCAACAAUUAGUAAUGACGCCACAAGUGACAACAGACACGCAUUGCUUAAUACACUAGAGAGGUGCAGGUGAUUGGAAACAGCUGGAAACAAUCAUGACAUGACAGACUAUCACAGGGAAAGACAGGACACGGCAGGAAGUGACGUGACCCAGGGAGAAUAGAGGCAAGAAACUACAAAAUAAAACCAGACAUGAACCCAAACCGUGACAUUAAUAGGUUAAAUGUAUUUAAUUUGAACUCAAUUAAAUUAAGUUCAAUUAAGUUCAACUAACUUAACUAAAUGUAGUUGAAAGUGAUAAAACCAUUCAUAUCAAUUCAACUCUACUAAACUAUAUUAACCCAACACAAUAACAUAGUGUUAGAGCAACGUAAUUGUUUAGCAUAGAGAGAAACCAAUUUAAUCAUGUGGAAAUCCUUUCCAUGAUUUUUUAAAGUAAAGCCAACGAGUAAUUUUUAAAAAGUAUAAAAAUUAAAAAGUAUAGAAUGUGAUCAAUAGAC
Molecule: long non-coding RNA, 1260 nt
Organism: Gasterosteus aculeatus aculeatus (three-spined stickleback)
Lineage: Eukaryota; Metazoa; Chordata; Actinopteri; Perciformes; Gasterosteidae
Source: Ensembl